AGCCUAAACCUUUAAAAACAAAGGCAUGGUUAAAACCCAGUCGAGGAUAAAGAACCUAUCAUGUAGGAUUUAUCUUGACUGGUCGUAUCUGGAAACGGAUAUGGAGGACUUCGGUUCUC
Molecule: small RNA, 119 nt
Filed under: unclassified sequences
Description: LOOT RNA
Rfam family: LOOT RNA
About the family: Latescibacteria, OD1/Parcubacteria, OP11, TM7.
Source: Rfam by way of RNAcentral